AAGUAAUUUACUCUGCUAGUCAGCUACAUCUCUAUUUUGAUGUGUGUUUGAAUUAUUUGAAGUUUGAUGGGGCUUUUUUAAUGGUAGCCAUUGUAAGUUGAUGAACCUGAAGUUACUGCUACGUCUGAGUUUGAAGGUAAGUAUGAAAGGAAAACAUUUUUUUCAGCAUUCUGACCUUUUCUAUGCUCCUGUUAACUGGAUUUACUGUUUAUAGUCCACACAGUGGUGAUAGCAAUGAUUAAAGUCUUCCACAAUAAACCUAAGGACCUGGAUAGGCAUUUUUCAAGAGUUUUGCUCUGCACAAAUUUCUCAUAAGUGUCAGUAAUUAUUUGCCAUCAAUAACUGGAAAUAUAAAUGUGCAUAAAAAAGCCAGAAGUAAUAAUUUAAAUGUUCUGUGUAAUAUUUCUUAGUAGCUUGCAUGUGUGUGUCCCAUGCUCCUUUUCUUUACCAGCAAUGCCAGGAUUAUGACACAUCCCAAGGACCAGCGCUGUAGGCAUCCCAGGCUGUGUCCAUAUGUAUCACACUCUUCAGUCUCCACCUGUGGGACAUGCACGGCUGUACAGAACUGAAGGUUUUAAGCUGAUCUAAACCAUUUCGAUCUGCAGAAGGCUGAGCCAUGGGGUGCUGCAGGCUCAGCACAGAAGACUGUAGUGCUGUCAGUGCCAGAGACUGGGAAAGUCAGGAAACCUUGCUCUGGUCAGCAUUCAUUGACUCUUGGUGGAGCGGCUGUGUGUUGAUGGAUUCCUUUGAAUUGAAGAGAUACCUUUUGAAGACUCAUGCUUUCCAGGAAAUUAGUAUUCUUCACAUCUUCCUGCCACUGUCUAAAAACCGUGCAACUCUUCAUCUUAGAAAGCCAUUGUAG
This 862-nucleotide long non-coding RNA is filed under the name Zonotrichia albicollis (white-throated sparrow). RNAcentral describes it as "lncRNA (ENSZALG00000007861.1)". The record is from RNAcentral. Lineage: Eukaryota; Metazoa; Chordata; Aves; Passeriformes; Passerellidae.